This 2874-nucleotide long non-coding RNA is filed under the name Brachypodium distachyon (stiff brome). RNAcentral's name for it is "long non-coding RNA (BDIS_LNC004253)". The record is from RNAcentral. Lineage: Eukaryota; Viridiplantae; Streptophyta; Magnoliopsida; Poales; Poaceae.
UUGGUAUCAGCCAAAGCUGACUAGACAAUUGAGGUUGGCUAGCUGAUGUGCCUAGGUUUUAGUCUCUAGAUGGUCUUGUGAUCUGUCACCUAAAGUGAUUCCUCAAUUUGUGCAGCUUUCAGGUCUAUCUAUCUAUCUUUCUUUCCUAGUCAAUGCAUCUGCUCCUGCUAUGAGUUGCGUGUAGAAUUAGCUUGUUAUUAUCAGCUUGCCUAACUAAAUUGUUGUGCUAUUGCAGACAAUUGAUCCACAGCUAAGCAAUCCAAUCCAAUUUUUUUUUCUAUCCAUUCGGAUCCGCACCAACGAAACCUGUUUGAAUACCCGCACCGUUACAACCAUCUUGAUCCGCACCAUUACCAGGUCUACCCUGACUCCUUGACUCCUGAUUCCUCUCCUCCCCGAUUCCCUCUUCUCUCCCGAUUCGCGCCGCCACCCUUCAGAUCCACCGCCGGCAACUCGCCCCCUCCACCCUCCGGCUAUCGCGGCACCACGCCCACCACCCUCCUCCACACUCAGGCCGAAGCCCAUCUCGCUGCCUCUCCCACGAAGAUCCAGCAGCGUGGCGCUCAUCUCGGAGUUCAUCUUGUCCCGGUCCAAGACCCUCCACCGAGUUGCUCAUCCACGCCCGCUGCCCUGCUCGCCCUCCCUGCCUCCCUUCCAUGUAGAUCCAUCUCAGUGUGCGGAGCUCCUUCCCCUACGUACCAAGCCGCCGUAACAAUCUGAAUUUUUGUUCCUUAUUGAUCCUACGAGACGUAGUACAGGUAUCUUUUUUAAAGAAUAUAUUUAGUUAACUGCAAUUUUUUUGGAUUAUUGAUCUCAUUGUGUGUUUCUUGUAGAACUCGGGGUCACAAUUCAUAAGGGAAGGAGAAGGACUUGUGAUUAUCUACGCAGAAGGAGGAGACGUAGUACAGGUAUCUGCAAUUUUUUUGGAUUAUGUACGCAGCUUGCCUAGUUUCUUUUGCCUCUUGAUGAUUUGUAGCACAAGUGCAGUAGCUUUGCAGCACAAAUAACCACCUAGUUGGUAGAAUUAUUUUUAGUGUUGUUUGUGUUUUGUUUAUAGUUGCUCAGUUGUAUUGUUUCAGGCUAGCUUGUAAACAUAUCAGCAAUAUGUCUGACAGUUCUAGUACUAGUAAUUCUGCCAAUGGGACCUUAGUGGUGUCCAAUACUAGGAGAUCAAAAGUCUGGAAGCAUUUUGAGCCAAAUUUGGUUUUCGUAGAUGAGAUUCCAAAGGCCGUCUGCUUGUAUUGUGGACUCAAAUUGACAGAUACUCACAGUUCUGGCACUGGUUUGUAGUAAAGAUUGGUUGACUAAACUUCCGGAGAACGAAGGUAUAACUGUAUUAUUUUAACAAGUUAUGUAAUAUGUCAACUAUUUAUAUUAUCUGAUACGCAUUUUCAUUUGUAGGUAAAGACCCAAUGGUGAUUGUCUCCUAGAUCUUUGAUCUCCAUCAAUGCCUACAGGUAUGCCAUCUUGCUUGUCGAUUUUUUUUUGAAGCCAUAGUUGCUGCUCCUCAAUAGUUGAUGUUGCUGCUGUUGCUUUGCAUUGAACUGUAGUUAUUACUACCUCCAGUUCUAAUAAUUCUUAUGAUUUGUGAGAGUACAAAAUUUAGAUUGAAGUGUAGAGUUUCAUUUUUGAAUCUUUAUUCAAGUUCUCUUGCUGAACCUUGAAUAAAGGGGCUUGUUCAAAAGAUUUUCCAUAUUUUGGCUCCUAAAGAGCAACUCUUAAACCUGUAUUGGUUAUCCGUCUGUUUUAUUUCUUGAAGAUGGUAUUGAUUUCUGCUGAUAAUAUUCAGAUGAUUGUAUAUUUCUGCUGCUGUCUGCUGCCGGGCAUUGCUGCUGUUGCUUGCUGUGCACCUGAACUUUGACAUGGAGUGAUGCUGAUAAUAUUCAUGAACUGCGAUAUGAAGCGAAGGCCUCUACCCGCAACCAUUUUCAUUGCCAUGGAGUUCAGCCCUUUUUAUGGUUACUAGUGUCGUUAGAGCUUUGUUGCUUGAUGAGAAGAGCAUGAUUAUCUUGAUGAACUGUAAAUCUAUUAUGUGCACUAUCUCAGCGUCGUUUUCUUUUAGAUGUGUUUUAUUUCUGUUUUUUCGGGACCUCUAGACCGAUUAUCAUCCUCGGUUAAUGCAUCUGGGGACACUGAUAUGAAUUAAUCAUAUUGUUACAUGAGAGCCUGACAUCGAUGUAUAUCUAAUGAUGCCAUGAAUUUUGUUACUGUAAUUGUUUUGUACAGGUCUUUGGGUUGCUACCCGUUUCUGAUUGGAUAUGUUGUACAACCUAAAGAUCACAUGAUGCUUGUACAAUGGUUCAAUAGUUGUUAAUUUUGUCCAAGAUUUGCUGUUUUAAUUCCAUAUUGGAUAGGACCCAAUAUCACUUCAGUGCUAGCUAAAAAUCACAUGAUGCUUCUGGUUUGGACGUGUAUCACUUCAACUGUAUGUGAAUGUAUCAGUGUAUCUGAAUAUAGUAGCACAGGCAGGCUGGGGAAACAUCUGCUGGCAGCGCCUCUCCUAGCGUUGGCCCCCAUGGUCUGAGACGUGGAUUCCAACCCGCAAACUUCGUACGGUCUGGUGAGGUUCGGGGGCUACCUGCAUGCGGUUUGGUAUGGUUUGGAUUAAACAAACAGAUUAGUGGGGCGGAUUGGUAUGGGGAGCGAGCUGGCUGCCGCAUGGAUCGAUCUGGGUCUGGUGCGGGUUUGUCCCCAUUACCAGGCCUAAGUCAGGGUGGAUGGGGAGAGACUAGACCAGACCAAUCCAAACCGCAUAUUCACCUAGACCAAACCGAUCCAAUCCAAAUUUUUUUUCUAUCCAUUCGGAUCCGCACCAACGAAACCUGUUUGAAUACCCGCACCGUUACAACCAUCUUGAUCCGCACCAUUACCAGG